GGGAUGUAUUUUGUUCCUGAGAAAGAUAUAACUACAGCUUCUUUUGAGGGAGCUGAAAGCAGUAAACGUAAAGAAGAGGAGUGCACAGCAGUUGCUCCAGCGCUUGAAGACCUUGGUAUUGUAUAUGCUCAUCGGUAUGAAGACAUUGUUAACCUCGGACCAGCAAAGAUCAAAGAGAAGAAAGAACAGACCAUGCAUUUAGAUUACCCUCCGCGCCAGCCAAAGGCUUCAACUGCUGGGAAGAAGAAAUUAGACACCAUAACUGGGAAGGAGAACACAGGAACUGUCAAUCCUAUAACGAUCCAUAAAAAGAACCAGUACAGCAUCCUUGCUCGUUCCAUGGGUAUGGAAGAAGUUCAGUUUAGCAAAUGGCUCUUAUCUGCAACACCAGCAGAGC
Molecule: unclassified non-coding RNA, 397 nt
Filed under: Hevea brasiliensis (rubber tree)
Lineage: Eukaryota; Viridiplantae; Streptophyta; Magnoliopsida; Malpighiales; Euphorbiaceae
Source: RNAcentral